RNAcentral lists this ribosomal RNA (38 nucleotides) under Phyllactinia juglandis. RNAcentral describes it as "partial 28S ribosomal RNA". The record is from RNAcentral. Lineage: Eukaryota; Fungi; Ascomycota; Leotiomycetes; Helotiales; Erysiphaceae. RNAcentral also lists the same sequence under 4 other names.
UUGACCUCGAAUCAGGUAGGGAUACCCGCUGAACUUAA